UGGGGAAUAUUGGACAAUGGGGGCAACCCUGAUCCAGCCAUGCCGCGUGUGUGAAGAAGGCCUUUUGGUUGUAAAGCACUUUAAGCAGGGAGGAGAGGCUAAUGGUUAAUACCCAUUAGAUUAGACGUUACCUGCAGAAUAAGCACCGGCUAACUCUGUGCCAGCAGCCGCGGUAAUACAGAGGGUGCGAGCGUUAAUCGGAAUUACUGGGCGUAAAGCGAGUGUAGGUGGCUCAUUAAGUCACAUGUGAAAUCCCCGGGCUUAACCUGGGAACUGCAUGUGAUACUGGUGGUGCUAGAAUAUGUGAGAGGGAAGUAGAAUUCCAGGUGUAGCGGUGAAAUGCGUAGAGAUCUGGAGGAAUACCGAUGGCGAAGGCAGCUUCCUGGCAUAAUAUUGACACUGAGAUUCGGAAGCGUGGGUAGCAAACAGGAUUAGAUACCCUGGUAGUCCACGCCGUAAAACGAUGUCUACUAGCCGUUGGGGUCCUUGAGACUUUAGUGGCGCAGUUAACGCGAUAAGUAGACCGCCUGGGGAG
Molecule: ribosomal RNA, 535 nt
Filed under: uncultured bacterium
Lineage: Bacteria
Description: partial 16S ribosomal RNA
Rfam family: Bacterial small subunit ribosomal RNA
Source: RNAcentral